This 351-nucleotide unclassified non-coding RNA is filed under the name soil metagenome. RNAcentral describes it as "partial contains 5.8S ribosomal RNA, internal transcribed spacer 2, and large subunit ribosomal RNA". The stretch from base 1 to 120 matches the Rfam family "5.8S ribosomal RNA", at positions 35 to 154 of the family's 154-position model. The record is from RNAcentral.
GAUGAAGAACGCAGCGAAAUGCGAUAAGUAAUGUGAAUUGCAGAAUUCAGUGAAUCAUCGAAUCUUUGAACGCACAUUGCGCCCGCCAGUAUUCUGGCGGGCAUGCCUGUUCGAGCGUCAUUACAACCCUCAGGCCUCCGGGCCUGGCGUUGGGGAUCGGCGGAGCCCCCCGUGGGCACACGCCGUCCCCCAAAUACAGUGGCGGUCCCGCCGCAGCUUCCAUUGCGUAGUAGCUAACACCUCGCAACUGGAGAGCGGCGCGGCCACGCCGUAAAACACCCAACUUCUGAAUGUUGACCUCGAAUCAGGUAGGAAUACCCGCUGAACUUAAGCAUAUCAAUAAGCGGAGGA